RNAcentral lists this ribosomal RNA (394 nucleotides) under uncultured bacterium. Its description in RNAcentral is "partial 16S ribosomal RNA". It matches the Rfam family "Bacterial small subunit ribosomal RNA", at positions 523 to 918 of the family's 1533-position model. The record is from RNAcentral.
ACACGGAGGAUGCAAGCGUUAUCCGGAUUUAUUGGGUUUAAAGGGUGCGUAGGCGGAUGAUUAAGCGUGAGGUGAAAUGCCACUGCUCAACAGUGGAACUGCCUCGCGAACUGGUUGUCUUGAAUGCUCCUGCCGUGGGAGGAAUGUGUGGUGUAGCGGUGAAAUGCAUAGAGAUCACACAGAACACCGAUUGCGAAGGCAUCUCACGAAGGGGUGAUUGACGCUGAGGCACGAAAGCGUGGGGAUCAAACAGGAUUAGAUACCCUGGUAGUCCACGCAGUAAACGAUGAUAACUAACCGCUGGGUCGUAGUGAUUCAGUGGCCAAGCGAAAGCGAUAAGUUAUCCACCUGGGGAGUACGACCGCAAGGUUGAAACUCAAAUGAAUUGACGGGG